Molecule: small RNA, 127 nt
Filed under: Marmota monax (woodchuck)
Lineage: Eukaryota; Metazoa; Chordata; Mammalia; Rodentia; Sciuridae
Source: RNAcentral
GCCGGGCAGGGUGGGUCAUGCCUGUAAUCCCAGCAGCUUGGGAGGCUAAGACAGGAGGAUCAGGAGUUCAAAGCCAGCCUCAGAAAUUUAGCAAGGCUCUAAGUAACUCAGUGAGACCCUGUCUCUA